Molecule: ribosomal RNA, 253 nt
Filed under: uncultured bacterium
Lineage: Bacteria
Description: partial 16S ribosomal RNA
Rfam family: Bacterial small subunit ribosomal RNA
Source: RNAcentral
UACGAAGGGUGCUAGCGUUGUUCGGAUUUACUGGGCGUAAAGCGUGCGUAGGUGGCUUUACAAGUCAGGGGUGAAAUCCUGGGGCUCAACCCCAGAAUUGCCUUUGAAACUGUAGAGCUAGAGUAUCGGAGGGGAUAGCGGAAUUGCUAAUGUAGAGGUGAAAUUCGUAGAUAUUAGCAGGAACACCGGUGGCGAAGGCGGCUAUCUGGACGAUUACUGACACUCUGGCACGAAAGCGUGGGGAGCGAUCCGG